This is a long non-coding RNA of Homo sapiens (human), 1149 nucleotides long. NCBI's taxonomy places the organism in Eukaryota, Metazoa, Chordata, Mammalia, Primates, Hominidae. The record is from Ensembl.
UUUGUGUUUGAAUUAGGACAUACAGGAUUUGUCUAGGCAUGCUGUAAUACUAGUUUUGUGAAACUCUGGUGUGAUAAAUAGCUACUUUUAUCUAAACCAAUGUUAUUUACUACACUAAAAAAAGACAAUUAAAAUCUUAGCCAGGAAAACUAACACAUACAUUGGAACUCUUCCUACAUUCUUUUAUGUUCUAACACUCAGUUGCUAUCUCUAAACUUUUGGUUUGCAUAUGAAAACCAGUAAAUCACAACAAACCUAUAUUCUGAAAAAUUUAUAUUUAGAAGAGCCAAUGCUUUAGGAAAAAGCAUUACUUUAUAAGGUAAUAUUUUUCUAGAAACAUACACUUACUUCUGCUUUUUUACGAGCUUCCAUAGCUUUCAUAAGCAUCAUGUGUUGUCGCCUUCGCUCUCGUUCCUAUUAGGCCAGAUAAAAUGUGGAAAAUAACUCAGCCACAAUUAACAGUUUGAUUUUCCAAUGAAAAAACAAAAACAAAAACAAAACAAAAACUCAGUAUAGCAUGUUUAGCAUUUAUAGACAAGUCACAGUAAAUACUAAAUAUAAGACAAGAAUGGCCAGUCUGUGCAUGUUUUAGUUCAGGUUUAGAAAGCAAAUACAACAAUCAAAAGCAAAAAGGUAAAGCAAUGAACAUGGAGACAGUGUAAACAGAAGCAUACAAGAUUUACUUAUGGUCAGUUGUGAUGCUCCUUCAAAAGCUGGCAGAACAAAAAGCAUAAUGGUUGGCUGGAACAGCCACAAAAGCUGCACCAUGGGCUCACAGGUGGAAUCUUAAAGGCACAGUAUGAAAAUAAGCCUGUGCAUGCAAAACAGGUCUCAAAGUCAUGCAACAGCACCACUACAACUUGCAAAUAAUGUCAGACUUGAAAUGAAGCUACAUGUCUCACAAGUGGCAACUUUUAAGUAAUCCUGAAAGCAUUAAGAAGCAAUGAAGGCAAAUCUUAUUUUGUAUAACUUGAAUUUAAUUUUCUACUAAUAUUUUACAUGUUUAAGAAAAACAAGCUUUUAUUAAAAUUUGAACAUUCGAGCAAUAUACUUCAUUGACUGAUACAUUAAUUUAAAAAUUCUGAAAAUUGUUCAAGAUAUCAACUUAUACAAAGUCUACCAGGAUAUUAAAGUACUUACACAAAUUUA